Molecule: long non-coding RNA, 1110 nt
Organism: Poecilia latipinna (sailfin molly)
Lineage: Eukaryota; Metazoa; Chordata; Actinopteri; Cyprinodontiformes; Poeciliidae
Exons: 2
Source: RefSeq, a predicted model, not a curated record
UUUUACCAAAAGCAUAUGAGAAAUCCCGCAACUACUAAAAUCUGACGCUACUCCAUUUUUGUUUAUGUUUUGUGAAGGAGGAAGUUGGGCUCAUGUUUUCUUCUGUGAUUUUCGUGUCACUUCCUGUAGUACUUCUUGGUGCAGCAGCUGUCAGGAUCUGGAUUUAUAAAAGUGUCUCUCCCCAUUGGCUCCCUGCUGGGAGCGGCCUGGAGCAGAGCUGCACACCUGCAGCUUGUUGGGAUCUUCACCCAGAGAGGAUUUAAGGAGCUUCCAGACCUCACCUGUCCACUGGAUGAUUACUCUUUCAUGGAAUAAGCCAGACCUCCAAACCUGUAAUCCCACCUGCAGCUCUGAACCUCACCUGCCUGCCCGCUCCAGCCAACAGUUCAUUCUUGCCGGAGAAACUUGCCUCGGACCUCCCGAUUGGUUGCCUGGCUCCAUCCUACUCCUUCCUCCUCCCCCGUUGAGAAGUUAAUUUCUCCUGCUGUCCACCCCUCGCACAGUCAUUGACCUGUCUCUCAGCUUCCAGAUAAACCCCGAGCCCGAUCCAAAGAAUCACCUGCAAGACACCUGUGCCUGUACAUUUUGUAAAUAAAUUCUUAACUUCCCAGGUCUGAUUCUGCAUGUGGGUCAGAAGCCUACCCUCGAACAUGACAGCGGCAGCACAGGCGCGGGGGUAAGCAGGUAUUUCAAAGGGUUUGGACUGUUUUAUGCAGUGCAGUGUGAAAGCUGAACAUGUAACAAAUGUUGCAAACAUUCUAAAACUACAGGACACCGGCCUUUAAGGACUAGCAUUGAGACCGCAGUUAUAAGAAGUUCCAAAGCAGUUUUGAGUAAAACCAUUCUGGUUGCAGCUGGCAUGCUGAACCUGCCAGCUGCAACUGUUUUAUUUUGUUGAAUUAUUUGCUAUUCAGCUGAGUUGUACGUCACAUUGUAUUAUUCAAUGUGCAUUCAUUUUUAACACCAUAAAAACGUGGCAUUUUGGCAAGGAUGUAUAGACUUUUGAGAGUCACUGCAGCAUGUGAUGGAGUACAUCAUGUAGUGGGACUGCAUAAACAAACAACUUCCCCUUCCCAAAAACACCAGUUGGACCAUGUGUGGAGGGAUAAU